UCAAAUUGACGGAUCAAACAAAAAAGAUUAGUACCAGCACAUUCAUCUUUGCCGCUUUCUCUUCAUGAUUGUUGUGUUGUGAUGUGAUAUUAUUAACUGACCGGUAGCUUAGAGUGCUGUUAAACUUCGGACUUGAGAGGUAUAAGAUUAAUGUGUGAAUGCUCGGGUUGAACUCUCCAUGUCAGAUGGGAUAAAAGAAUGAUAUCAAUUUUCGUCCUCGUUAAUCAUCCAUGCUCGAGGAUAACAAGGUAAUGUUUCCUACUUGUCAUGCAAUUCCUUCUUUGGAAGUAAAUCAUGUCUUCUGAAUCUGAAUGGAAGCCUCAACCUGCCAGUGCCACUAGAGCGUCGUGAAAAGCACUUCAG
This 363-nucleotide unclassified non-coding RNA is filed under the name Hevea brasiliensis (rubber tree). Lineage: Eukaryota; Viridiplantae; Streptophyta; Magnoliopsida; Malpighiales; Euphorbiaceae. The record is from RNAcentral.